CCUACGGGAGGCAGUAGUGAGGAAUAUUGGUCAAUGGGCGCGAGCCUGAACCAGCCAAGUAGCGUGAAGGCUGACUGCCCUACGGGUUGUAAACUUCUUUUAUAAAGGAAUAAAGUGAGGCACGUGUGCCUUUUUGUAUGUACUUUAUGAAUAAGGAUCGGCUAACUCCGUGCCAGCAGCCGCGGUAAUACGGAGGAUCAGAUCGUUAUCCGGAUUUAUUGGGUUUAAAGGGAGCGUAGAUGGGUUGUUAAGUCAGUUGUGAAAGUUUGCGGCUCAACCGUAAAAUUGCAAUUGAUACUGGCAGCCGUGAGUACAGUUGAGGUAGGCGGAAUUCGUGGGGUAGCGGUGAAAUGCUUAGAUAUCACGAAGAACUCCGAUUGCGAAGGCAGCUUACUAAACUGCCACUGACAUUGAUGCUCGAAAGUGUGGGUAUCAAACAGGAGUAGAUACCACAGUAGUC
RNAcentral lists this ribosomal RNA (460 nucleotides) under uncultured bacterium. RNAcentral describes it as "partial 16S ribosomal RNA". It matches the Rfam family "Bacterial small subunit ribosomal RNA", at positions 338 to 795 of the family's 1533-position model. The record is from RNAcentral.